CCUACGGGAGGCAGCAGUGGGGAAUAUUGCGCAAUGGAGGAAACUCUGACGCAGCAACGCCGCGUGAAUGAAGAAGGUUUUCGGAUUGUAAACUUCUAUCGUCAGGGAAGAAAAUGACGGUACCUCAUUAAGAAGCACCUGCUAACUACGUGCCAGCAGCCGCGGUAGUACGUAGGGGGCAAGCGUGAUCCGGAUGUAUUGGUGGGAAAGGAGGCGGAGGCGGUAUAGCAAGUAAGAAGUGAAAGCCCGGGGCUUAACUCAGGUACUGCUUCUGAAACUGUUGAACUAGAGUGCAGGAGAGGUUAGUGGAAUUCCUAGUGUAGCGGUGAAAUGCGUAGAUAUUAGGAGGAACACCAGAGGCGAAGGCGGCUUACUGGACUGUAACUGACGCUGAGGCACGAAAGUGUGGGGAGCAAACAGGAUUAGAUACCCGUGUAGUC
RNAcentral lists this ribosomal RNA (440 nucleotides) under uncultured bacterium. RNAcentral describes it as "partial 16S ribosomal RNA". It matches the Rfam family "Bacterial small subunit ribosomal RNA", at positions 338 to 795 of the family's 1533-position model. The record is from RNAcentral.